UUUCUUUUUCUCUUUUUUCUUCUCCCUCUCCUCCCACUUGCCGGUUUACCGUUUUGAAUGCCAGAACUGUCCCAGAUGGUUCGGGACGGUUCUGCAUUUCUUGAUAUCAUAUAUAGUUGCUUUUAUUCCUCUUUGAUCUCUAUUGGUACAAAUGGCUCUUCUCAACAAUAAUCAUCAAAUUUUAUUGCUUUUGCCAAUCUUGAAAUUUUCUUUCCAUAAUCUUUUCCCUGUGGUUAUUGACUGUUGCUAAUUAUUUUAUAGAGAACCUUUAUUGGUUCUUGGCCACAUAUUUAUGCCCCUGGAAUCUUGCCUUUGCUUUUGAUCAUGUCUAGAUAUCUUUAGUUUGGUUUGUCUACCUUGUGGUGUAUGAAGUCAUUCUAACUCCUGAUUCAUGUGCAUCCAAUUAUAUAACAUAUGAUGCAUUUGAUUGGACUCUCCAUUUGUCAAUUUCUUACAUGCCACUCCAACAUUAUUGGUUGAUUUUUUGUUUCCUCUUAUUUUUCAUGUUUACAAGCUAUCAAUGAAUUUUGAGCUAGCUUAUAGGUCAUCCUUGCAUAGUGUUACUUGAUUCUUGUUCUUGUUCCGUGCAUUAUCAUUCUUCAUGGAGGUAAUUGGGGCUAACCGUUGGCUUUGUGGUCUUUUCUAGAUGGGUAAUUUCCACCUAUCACCUAAUGUUUCCUUUGUGGAAGUCACCUCUUCACUAUCUUCUUCCUUUCUGAGUAAAAGAGN
This 729-nucleotide long non-coding RNA is filed under the name Phoenix dactylifera (date palm). Its description in RNAcentral is "long non-coding RNA (PDAC_LNC002964)". Lineage: Eukaryota; Viridiplantae; Streptophyta; Magnoliopsida; Arecales; Arecaceae. The record is from RNAcentral.